Molecule: ribosomal RNA, 496 nt
Filed under: uncultured bacterium
Lineage: Bacteria
Description: SSU rRNA
Rfam family: Bacterial small subunit ribosomal RNA
Source: RNAcentral
AGGACGAACGCUGGCGGCGUGCUUAACACAUGCAAGUGGAGCGACGAACCAGGGCUUGCCCUGGGGCAGAGCCGCGAACGGGUGAGUAACACGUGGGUUACCUGCCUUGAUGACUGGGACAACCCGGGGAAACUCGGGCUAAUACCGGAUGUGCCCGCAAGGGGAAAGGAAGCUUCGGCCUCCGCAUCAAGAUGGGCCCGCGGCCCAUUAGCUUGUUGGUGAGGUAACGGCUCACCAAGGCUUCGAUGGGUAGCUGGUCUGAGAGGACGAUCAGCCACACUGGGACUGAGACACGGCCCAGACUCCUACGGGAGGCAGCAGUGGGGAAUCUUGCGCAAUGCGCGAAAGCGUGACGCAGCAACGCCGCGUGGGGGAAGAAGGCUUUCGGGUUGUAAACCCCUUUCAGUUUGGGACGAAGCUUCGACGGUGAAUAGCCGUUUGGAGUGACGGUACCUUCAGAAGAAGCCCCGGCUAACUACGUGCCAGCAGCCGCGGU